GGAUUAGGCAUGCAAGUCGAACGGGAAACCCCUCGGGGUUUCUAGUGGCGAAAGGGUGAGUAACACGUGAGCAACCUGCCCCCAAGUCUGGAAUAAGCGGUGGAAACGCCGUCUAAUGCCGGAUGUCGAAUGGCCCCCGCCUGGUGGCUCUUCGAAAGAUUUAUCGCUUGGGGAUGGGCUCGCGCCCCAUUAGCUGGUUGGCGGGGUAAUGGCCCACCAAGGCUACGACGGGUAGGUGGACUGAGAGGUCGGUCACCCACACUGGGACUGAGACACUGCCCAGACUCCUACGGGAGGCUGCAGUCGAGAAUCUUCCGCAAUGGGCGAAAGCCUGACGGAGCAAUGCCGCGUGAGGGAAGAAUGCCUUCGGGUUGUAAACCUCUGUCACCCGGGACGAAAUUUGACGGUACCGGGAGAGGAAGUCACGGCUAACUACGUGCCAGCAGCCGCGGUAACACGUAGGUGGCAAGCGUUAUUCGGAUUUACUGGGCGUAAAGGGUCCGCAGGGGGCCUGACAAGUCUGUCGUGAAAGGCCAAGGCUCAACCUUGGCACUGCGGUGGAAACAGUCGGGCUAGAGUCAGUGAGGGGCAGACGGAACACCUGGUGUAGCGGUGGAAUGCGUAGAUAUCAGGUGGAACACCUAUGGCGAAGGCGGUCUGCUGGCACAUGACUGACCCUCAGGGACGAAAGCGUGGGUAGCAAACAGGAUUAGAUACCCUGGUAGUCCACGCCGUAAACUUUGUGAACUAGAUGUGCCCGGGCUGGCCCCGGGCGUGUCCAAGCUAACGCGAUAAGUUCACCGCCUGGGGACUACGGCCGCAAGGCUAAAACUCAAAGGAAUUGACGG
RNAcentral lists this ribosomal RNA (848 nucleotides) under uncultured Lentisphaerota bacterium. RNAcentral describes it as "bacterial SSU rRNA". It matches the Rfam family "Bacterial small subunit ribosomal RNA", at positions 46 to 916 of the family's 1533-position model. Lineage: Bacteria; Pseudomonadati; Lentisphaerota. The record is from RNAcentral.